Molecule: ribosomal RNA, 176 nt
Filed under: uncultured Glomus
Lineage: Eukaryota; Fungi; Glomeromycota; Glomeromycetes; Glomerales; Glomeraceae
Description: partial 18S ribosomal RNA
Rfam family: Eukaryotic small subunit ribosomal RNA
Source: RNAcentral
CCUUUGUACACACCGCCCGCCGCUACUACCGAUUGAAUGGCUUAGUGAGACCCUCGGAUUGGUAUUCAGAAGCUUUAACCGGCAUCUGUUUGCUGAGAAGUUGGUCAAACUUGGUCAUUUAGAGGAAGUAAAAGUCGUAACAAGGUUUCCGUAGGUGACCUGCGGAAGGAUCAUUA